This 417-nucleotide long non-coding RNA is filed under the name Homo sapiens (human). RNAcentral's name for it is "HSALNT0285290". Lineage: Eukaryota; Metazoa; Chordata; Mammalia; Primates; Hominidae. The record is from RNAcentral.
UUGAGACGCCCUGAUCUGGAUAACAUAGACUAGAAAGCAUCUAUCACUUUCUGGUAGAAGUGUGAAUAUGCCAGAAACCAGCCAAAAUGUCAACAAGAGAAGAAGAAAUGGGCUUGGAAAUUUCACCGAAUAGUUAAUCAGUUGUGAGUAAUUGUUAAUGGAAAUAGUUAAAUAAUAUCUUACAAUGUGUUUUAUUAAUGUGAGAUUAAUUUAGAUACAUUAAAAUCCCCCCUUUUGGUGUACAGUUCUGUGAAUUUUGAAAAAUGCAUACAGCUGUAUAAUCACAAUCAUGAUUCAAAAAUUUCCCUUGUGUCCCUUUGUAGUUAGAACUUCCCAGCUCCCCUCCCACCAGCCACUGGUCUGAUUUAUGUCCUUGUGGUUUUUUAUUUUCUAGAAUAUCUUAUAAAUGGAUUCAAA